This 468-nucleotide ribosomal RNA is filed under the name uncultured bacterium. Its description in RNAcentral is "partial 16S ribosomal RNA". It matches the Rfam family "Bacterial small subunit ribosomal RNA", at positions 28 to 507 of the family's 1533-position model. The record is from RNAcentral.
GACGAACGCUGGCGGCGUGCUUAACACAUGCAAGUCGAACGGAAAGGCCCUGCUUUUGUGGGGUGCUCGAGUGGCGAACGGGUGAGUAACACGUGAGUAACCUGCCCUUGACUGUGGGAUAACUUCAGGAAACUGGGGCUAAUACCGGCUAGGAGCUCCUGCUGCAUGGUGGGGGUUGGAAAGUUUCGGCGGUUGGGGAUGGACUCGCGGCUUAUCAGCUUGUUGGUGGGGUAGUGGCUUACCAAGGCUUUGACGGGUAGCCGGCCUGGGAGGGGGACCGGCCACAUUGGGACUGAGAUACGGCCCAGACUCCUACGGGAGGCAACGGGGGGGAAUAUUGCACAAUGGGCGGAAGCCUGAGGCAGCAACGCCGCGUGCGGGAUGACGGCCAUGGGGUUGGAAAGCGCUUUAGCCUGUGACGAAGCGUGAGUGACGGUAAUGGGUAAAGAAGCACCGGCUAACUACGUG